RNAcentral lists this ribosomal RNA (236 nucleotides) under uncultured bacterium. Its description in RNAcentral is "partial 16S ribosomal RNA". It matches the Rfam family "Bacterial small subunit ribosomal RNA", at positions 105 to 339 of the family's 1533-position model. The record is from RNAcentral.
GGUGAGUAACGCGUGAACAAUCUGUCCCAUACAGGGGGAUAACAGAUGGAAACAUCUGCUAAUACCGCAUAAGACCACGAUGCCACAUGGCGAUGGGGUAAAAGGAGGAAUCCGGUAUGGGGUGAGUUCGCGUCCGAUUAGCUUGUUGGUGAGGUAACGGCCCACCAAGGCGACGAUCGGUAGCCGACCUGAGAGGGUGAUCGGCCACACUGGAACUGAGAGACGGUCCAGACUCC